This 701-nucleotide long non-coding RNA is filed under the name Nicotiana benthamiana. RNAcentral describes it as "long non-coding RNA (NBEN_LNC015461)". The record is from RNAcentral. Lineage: Eukaryota; Viridiplantae; Streptophyta; Magnoliopsida; Solanales; Solanaceae.
UCAUCAUCCAUUCAACAUGUUGAGCUAGCAAUAGACUUAUCUAAAGCAAAAUAGUCUCAGCAGGAUUGAGCAAGUUUGGAGUCACAAACAAAAAGUGAAUGUUUAUUUAGUUAUAGUAUAUUGGUUUUGGUCAGCGAGUUAUUUUGAACUCUGUGGUCCAGGCAUACUCCAUAAAUUUCUCGCAUGGAUUAUUUCGUCAAGCUCUUUAUAAUCAAAUAAUUAUGGAAUAAUUGGAAUAUAAAAGUGAGGGGUCUGACCUUAACAGUAUUGUCUUCCCCACCAGAUACAACCCAUCGGCCAUCUGGAGUGAACCUGAUGGCAUUGACACCUCUACUGUGACCUUUGUAUGUGUGGAUACAUCCUUUGCGUCUGAUAUCCCAUAUCUUUAGGUUUGUAUCUAAAGACCCAGAUGCAAAGAACUCGCCAAAGGGAUGGAAGUCCAAUGAUAUGCAGUUGGAUCGGUGUCCAGUGAGCGUGCGAACAACUGACAGAGAGAGAGCGAGAAAGAGAUUAAUAUAUUUCUUAAACAACAGAAAAUGAUUUUUAACCCCAAUGAAAAGUAUUAUAACAAGCAUACUCUUGGCCUCCGAUAUCCCAUAUCUUUAGGUUUGUAUCUAGAGACCCAGAUGCAAAGAACUCGCCAAAGGGAUGGAAGUCCAAUGAUAUGCAGUUGGAUCGGUGUCCAGUGAGAGUGCGAACAA